UGCCAGCCGCCGCGGUAAUACGGAGGGGGUUAGCGUUGUUCGGAAUUACUGGGCGUAAAGCGCACGUAGGCGGAUUAGUAAGUUAGGGGUGAAAUCCCGGGGCUCAACCCCGGAACUGCCUCUAAUACUGCUAGUCUUGAGUUCGAGAGAGGGAAGUGGAAUUUCCGGUGUAGCGGUGGAAUGCGUAGAUAUCGGAAGGAACACCAGUGGCGAAGGCGGCUCACUGGCUCGAUACUGACGCUGAGGUGCGAAAGUGUGGGGAGCAAACAGGAUUAGAUA
RNAcentral lists this ribosomal RNA (279 nucleotides) under uncultured bacterium. RNAcentral's name for it is "partial 16S ribosomal RNA". It matches the Rfam family "Bacterial small subunit ribosomal RNA", at positions 506 to 784 of the family's 1533-position model. The record is from RNAcentral.